GAGCGGGCUCUGCGCGAUAGAGCAUCGUGAACCAUGUCAGGCGGGGAACCGAGCAGCAUUAAGCGAAGGUCUCUGUGCGAUGCAGGUGGUCUGUUCGUU
This 99-nucleotide signal recognition particle RNA is filed under the name Clostridium sp. RNAcentral describes it as "signal recognition particle sRNA small type". It matches the Rfam family "Bacterial small signal recognition particle RNA". From Rfam's summary of the family: The signal recognition particle (SRP) is a universally conserved ribonucleoprotein involved in the co-translational targeting of proteins to membranes. Lineage: Bacteria; Bacillati; Bacillota; Clostridia; Eubacteriales; Clostridiaceae. The record is from RNAcentral. RNAcentral also lists the same sequence under 4 other names.